Molecule: ribosomal RNA, 292 nt
Filed under: uncultured bacterium
Lineage: Bacteria
Description: partial 16S ribosomal RNA
Rfam family: Bacterial small subunit ribosomal RNA
Source: RNAcentral
GUGUCAGCCGCCGCGGUAAUACAGAGGGUGCAAGCGUUAAUCGGAAUUACUGGGCGUAAAGCGCGCGUAGGUGGUUUGUUAAGUUGGAUGUGAAAUCCCCGGGCUCAACCUGGGAACUGCAUUCAAAACUGACAAGCUAGAGUAUGGUAGAGGGUGGUGGAAUUUCCUGUGUAGCGGUGAAAUGCGUAGAUAUAGGAAGGAACACCAGUGGCGAAGGCGACCACCUGGACUGAUACUGACACUGAGGUGCGAAAGCGUGGGGAGCAAACAGGAGGAUAUACCAGCGGAUUAC